This 396-nucleotide ribosomal RNA is filed under the name uncultured bacterium. RNAcentral's name for it is "bacterial SSU rRNA". It matches the Rfam family "Bacterial small subunit ribosomal RNA", at positions 975 to 1375 of the family's 1533-position model. The record is from RNAcentral.
CUACCCUUGACAUGUCUGGAAUCCUGAAGAGAUUUGGGAGUGCUCGAAAGAGAGCCAGAACACAGGUGCUGCAUGGCCGUCGUCAGCUCGUGUCGUGAGAUGUUGGGUUAAGUCCCGCAACGAGCGCAACCCUUGUCAUUAGUUGCUACGAAAGGGCACUCUAAUGAGACUGCCGGUGACAAACCGGAGGAAGGUGGGGAUGACGUCAGGUCAUCAUGGCCCUUAUGGGUAGGGCUACACACGUCAUACAAUGGCCGGUACAGAGGGCUGCCAACCCGCGAGGGGGAGCCAAUCCCAGAAAACCGGUCGUAGUCCGGAUCGUAGUCUGCAACUCGACUGCGUGAAGUCGGAAUCGCUAGUAAUCGCGGAUCAGCUUGCCGCGGUGAAUACGUUCCC